RNAcentral lists this ribosomal RNA (528 nucleotides) under uncultured Limnobacter sp. Its description in RNAcentral is "bacterial SSU rRNA". It matches the Rfam family "Bacterial small subunit ribosomal RNA", at positions 381 to 902 of the family's 1533-position model. Lineage: Bacteria; Pseudomonadati; Pseudomonadota; Betaproteobacteria; Burkholderiales; Burkholderiaceae. The record is from RNAcentral.
CCUGAAUCCAGCAAUGCCGCGUGUGCGAAGAAGGCCUUCGGGUUGUAAAGCACUUUUGUCAGGGAAGAAAUCCUUUGGGCUAAUACCCUAGGGGGAUGACGGUACCUGAAGAAUAAGCACCGGCUAACUACGUGCCAGCAGCCGCGGUAAUACGUAGGGUGCAAGCGUUAAUCGGAAUUACUGGGCGUAAAGCGUGCGCAGGCGGUUGUGUAAGACAGGUGUGAAAUCCCCGGGCUUAACCUGGGAAUUGCAUUUGUGACUGCACGACUAGAGUGUGUCAGAGGGGGGUGGAAUUCCACGUGUAGCAGUGAAAUGCGUAGAUAUGUGGAGGAACACCAAUGGCGAAGGCAGCCCCCUGGGAUAACACUGACGCUCAUGCACGAAAGCGUGGGGAGCAAACAGGAUUAGAUACCCUGGUAGUCCACGCCCUAAACGAUGUCAACUAGUUGUUGGGGAUUUACUUCCUUGGUAACGUAGCUAACGCGUGAAGUUGACCGCCUGGGGAGUACGGCCGCAAGGUUAAAACUC